RNAcentral lists this ribosomal RNA (498 nucleotides) under uncultured beta proteobacterium. Its description in RNAcentral is "bacterial SSU rRNA". It matches the Rfam family "Bacterial small subunit ribosomal RNA", at positions 8 to 503 of the family's 1533-position model. The record is from RNAcentral. Lineage: Bacteria; Pseudomonadati; Pseudomonadota; Betaproteobacteria.
AGAGUUGUAUCCUGGCUCAGAUUGAACGCUGGCGGAAUGCUUUACACAUGCAAGUCGAGCGGCAGCGCGGGGCAACCUGGCGGCGAGCGGCGAACGGGUGAGUAACAUAUCGGAACGUAUCCAUAAGUGGGGGACAACCUAGCGAAAGUUAGGCUAAUACCGCAUACGCUCGAGAGAGGAAAGUGGGGGAUCGCAAGACCUCACGCUUUAGGAGCGGCCGAUAUCAGAUUAGCUAGAUGGUGAGGUAAAGGCUUACCAUGGCGACGAUCUGUAGCUGGUCUGAGAGGAUGAUCAGCCACACUGGGACUGAGACACGGCCCAGACUCCUACGGGAGGCAGCAGUGGGGAAUUUUGGACAAUGGGGGCAACCCUGAUCCAGCCAUUCCGCGUGAGUGAAGAAGGCCUUCGGGUUGUAAAGCUCUUUUGUCCGGAGCGAAACGGUUGCGGUGAAUAUCCGCGACUACUGACGGUACCGGAAGAAUAAGCACCGGCUAACUA